This 685-nucleotide long non-coding RNA is filed under the name Homo sapiens (human). Its description in RNAcentral is "long intergenic non-protein coding RNA 1878". Lineage: Eukaryota; Metazoa; Chordata; Mammalia; Primates; Hominidae. The record is from RNAcentral.
AAUGAAAAUCUGGAUUCUAAGUAGAAAUGCGGGUAUGAGCAGCCAGGAUAUUGAUAGGGGCAGUCAAGAAAAGAAUUCUACUGAAAUAAGGAUGAUGAAUUCCCAUGGACAGCUAGCAAAUUAUCUGAUGUGGGAAGCAGGUUCAGGAUUUCUGAACGAUGGAUGAUCCUGAUUGACAUUUCAUGUGACAGUUCUCAAUCUCUUCGUGAUUGGGAAAGUGGCACUUAUAACCACCAUCUACUGGCAAGUCAUUGGCUCUCUCUCCUUCUUGGCCUGGUUUCCCUGUCCCUCAUUCCUACCUUUUUCCAGGAUCACAAAAGCCGAUAACAAGCUUGCACUCAGGUUCUGCUUCCUGGAGAGCCCAGGCUGAUAUCUCACUUCAUAUUUACAACAACUAUGCAAGAUAUGUCUUCUUGUUGUUGUCUCAUAAAUAAAGAAACGGGAGAGUCUAACAAGAUAACUGACUUGUACAGAGUCACACAGCUAGUUGGAGUGCAGUGAUGCAAUCAUGGCUCACUUCAGCCUCUACCUCCUGGGAUCAAGCAAUCCUCCCACCUCAGCCUCUGGAGUCACCGGGACUACAGAUACAAACUUUUGAGACCCACCCUUCGUAAGAAAAAAAAUGCAGAAGAAAGACAAAUUGGAUUUCAUUUCAAGAAAAUUGAAAAUAAAAUUCUUCAUACUG